AUCCGGGCGCGGAAUUCAAGGGUGCGAGGCCAGUCGCUUAGGCGACGAAGCAAUCGGAAGUGGUUCCAAGAAAAGCCUCUAAGCUUCAGUUUAACAGGACCGUACCGCAAACCGACACAGGUGGGCGAGAUGAGUAUUCUAAGGCGCUUGAGAGAACUCGGGAGAAGGAACUCGGCAAAUUGGUACCGUAACUUCGGGAUAAGGUACGCCCCUGUAGCUUGAUGCCCCUGCGGGCAGAGGGUGAAGGGGUUGCAAUAAACUGGUGGCUGCGACUGUUUAAUAAAAACACAGCACUCUGCAAACACGAAAGUGGACGUAUAGGGUGUGACGCCUGCCCGGUGCCGGAAGGUUAAGAGGAGAGGUGAGAGCUUUGAAUCGAAGCCCCGGUAAACG
This 393-nucleotide ribosomal RNA is filed under the name Tryblionella compressa. RNAcentral's name for it is "partial Bacterial large subunit ribosomal RNA". It matches the Rfam family "Bacterial large subunit ribosomal RNA", at positions 1540 to 1929 of the family's 2925-position model. The record is from RNAcentral. Lineage: Eukaryota; Bacillariophyta; Bacillariophyceae; Bacillariales; Bacillariaceae.